This 331-nucleotide unclassified non-coding RNA is filed under the name soil metagenome. RNAcentral describes it as "partial contains 5.8S ribosomal RNA, internal transcribed spacer 2, and large subunit ribosomal RNA". The stretch from base 1 to 120 matches the Rfam family "5.8S ribosomal RNA", at positions 35 to 154 of the family's 154-position model. The record is from RNAcentral.
GAUGAAGAACGUAGCGAAAUGCGAUAAGUAAUGUGAAUUGCAGAAUUCAGUGAAUCAUCGAAUCUUUGAACGCACAUUGCGCCCCCUGGUAUUCCGGGGGGCAUGCCUGUUCGAGCGUCAUUUCACCACUCAAGCCUCGCUUGGUAUUGGGCAACGCGGUCCGCCGCGUGCCUCAAAUCGACCGGCUGGGUCUUCUGUCCCCUAAGCGUUGUGGAAACUAUUCGCUAAAGGGUGCUCGGGAGGCUACGCCGUAAAACAAACCCAUUUCUAAGGUUGACCUCGGAUCACGUAGGGAUACCCGCUGAACUUAAGCAUAUCAAUAAGCGGAGGA